Molecule: long non-coding RNA, 2436 nt
Filed under: Centruroides sculpturatus (bark scorpion)
Lineage: Eukaryota; Metazoa; Arthropoda; Arachnida; Scorpiones; Buthidae
Description: uncharacterized LOC111638456
Source: RNAcentral
UGUACUGAAUUUUAGCAUCAGUUUGUACAAUGUGUCCUGUAGAGUUACUCAAAAUCAAAGAAAAGUUUAAUUGGACUCAAAUAUAGGUCAAGAGUGAUUUUUUUUUCUUUUUUUUUGCUCCUUUAAAAUUGAGGAAAAGCUUUGACUAAUAUUUGGACCAAUACAGUACUUAAACUAGCUCUAGCUUGAAUCUGGCUUUAUCAUUUGAUUAAUACAGUAUACUCCCAAUAAUCUGGGCUAAUCACUGGAAAUGGAGGCAUGGAUAAUGCAGAAAUGCAGAUAAUCUGCAAGUUUGUCUUAAUGAAAGCUAAUUGAUUUUUCUUUUAUUUAGUUUUUAAUUUCAUAUUAAAUUUAACAUAACAGUUUAUGUUAUGAAUAAAAUGUGUUUUGAGAAUGACAAUUUCUUAAUUAAUAAGCUUUUGAUGUGAUCAGAGAUGAAUAAAACUUUUGAUGUAAACAGAAAAUUCAGGAAAAUUUAUUGAACUACUGUCCACAGUUCACUAUGAAUUUCUUGUAUUAUUAACUGAGAACGAAGGUUGCCAGCUAGGUAGUAUCAUAAAAUGUCAUUAAUUUUGAAAUAUUAAUGAUUUAUUGUUAAGGAAAUUAUUCAAAAUAUUUUCUUAAAACAAUUUUACAACUUAUUUAAUAUAAAAAAAAAAAUACAGUAUACACAAGUAAAGCUGUAUUGUUCAAGAAUCAAUGGUGCUUACUGUACUUGUUAGGCCAUUUAAUUUAAGUAGUUCUGGAAGUCCUUGACUUUCUGAAAGUAGUUCUGUUUCUCACUAUACCAUUUUAAAUAGCAGGAAUUAACAAUACAGAUUUUUUUUAUUUUAAUACUAAUUUUUGUAUUUCUGAUGUAAAUUUUUAUUCAGACAUAAGCAUGCAUGGAUAUUUCGCAAGUCAGAUAAUCCCCACACAGAUAAUCAAGAGUAUACUGUAAGAGUAUAAUUCUGAUGUAGUUUCAUAUAAAUUUAAGUUUUUGUAUGUGUGUGUGUGUGUGCGUGCUUAUAUUAUGUAAACACUGUUGAAAAAUUAUGAAAAAUUCAAGAAAAUAUUAAAAUUAAAAUAAUAAUAAUUUUUUAAUAUUGUUUGCCAUCACCAGAGGGUGUUUUUAUCAUUUUUACAUAUUGAGGCAGACAAGUAGCCCCAAAUGAAAGGUUGACUCUGUCGUGGAAUUGUUAUUUUCCUCGUGCAUGUGAAAGGAUAAUGAUACUAAACACCAGCCAAGUUGUGACCUGUCGUGUUGUUGCACCCUGCAACUUUGUGUGGGAAUUAAGGGUUUUGCAUAAUUGAAAAUAAUUGAUUAGUCAAUUGUUUCCAAACAACUAAACUAAGCAAAUUAUUUUUACUGUAUUCAACAGAAUCAAUCAGUUUUGGAACUUCUACAGAAAUUUUAUAUGAAUAUAUGUGAGAAGCAAAACAAAGAAUAGGAAUGACCAAAUUGGAAAUAGAAAAACUGAAAAGAAAUUUGGAACAAAGGCAUAUUACAAAAUCUAAAAACACGAAAUUAGUGUAACACUUUAGUCUUUCAGUUGCAAUGUAUAGAUCAAAGACCUGGAUAAUAGAUGCUUUAUGUAUGAAACAUAUUGUGGUAUUUGUAAUAAUAUAUUGUAGAAGAAUGCUUUGGAUUCCAUGUAUAGCAAAAAGUAACUAUCUGUUCAUUUUAAAAGAACUUAAGAUUGCUGGAUCCACAAUGGAGACAUCUAUUGAAAUAUUUCAGACACAGCUUGAAAAAUAAGAACAAGCUUUACCGCAAGGUAGGGUUGAUGGCCAACAGGGAAAAGGAUGUCUCCUUUGAGAUACAUUAAUCAAAGUAGGAAGUUGAUGGGUCUUACUUAUGGCACUGACUGCAAAGAAAUGGGAUUGCAAGGAUUGAUGGAAGACAAGUUGGGUCUUAAUACUUGAAACGAACAAAACUGAAAAUGGCAAUGAUGGAUGUAAUACUUAUGAUGUCUUUUGUAUUUUAGUAUAGAAUCUAUUUGUUGAUAAGUUUUACUUGCUGUAUUAUAUAAUUAUAUAAAUUGUAAUAAAAGUUUUAUGAAUUAAAUUCACUUGUUUUUUGGGACCUGCUAUUAAAUGCAACAUUUCAAUAAGGAAUUAAAACCAAGAAUAUUAUGGCAUUCUUUAAAAGUAUGAAAAUAUUAAUUAUUAACCAGUACAUUAUUCAGUUUUUUAUUGGUUCCUUUCUAAUUAUUUUAUGGGAGUUUUGCCAUUAAAAAUUUUAUAAAAAAAAUACAAAUAGACUGUUUUGUGAUUAUUCUUCAAUUACUUUACUUUCUAAAAGCACAGAAGUUUCACCAAGUUGAUCUUUAAACAUUAUACUUGCUUUGCAGGUGAAGAUUUUUUAUCAUUGAAUGAUCAAAAGACCUCUUACAAUGUAUUUAAUUGUUAAGAUAGUUUAUAUUUUUAAAAAUAAGCAGUAUUAUAAUAAUGAUU